AUACAGAGGGUGCAAGCGUUAAUCGGAAUUACUGGGCGUAAAGCGCGCGUAGGCGGUUUAAUCAGUCGGAUGUGAAAGCCCCGGGCUCAACCUGGGAACUGCAUUCGAUACUGUUAAGCUAGAGUAUGGUAGAGGGAAGUGGAAUUCCAGGUGUAGCGGUGAAAUGCGUAGAUAUCUGGAGGAACAUCAGUGGCGAAGGCGACUUCCUGGACCAAUACUGACGCUGAGGUGCGAAAGCGUGGGGAGCAAACAGGAUAGAAACCCUAGUAGUCC
Molecule: ribosomal RNA, 273 nt
Filed under: uncultured bacterium
Lineage: Bacteria
Description: partial 16S ribosomal RNA
Rfam family: Bacterial small subunit ribosomal RNA
Source: RNAcentral